ACCUGGCUGGUUCAGUUAGAAGAACAUGUGACUCUUGAUCUCAGAGUUUGAGUUCAAGCCUCGCGUUGGGUA
This 72-nucleotide transfer RNA is filed under the name Felis catus (domestic cat). It matches the Rfam family "tRNA". Rfam says of the family: Transfer RNA (tRNA) molecules are approximately 80 nucleotides in length. Their secondary structure includes four short double-helical elements and three loops (D, anti-codon, and T loops). RNAcentral also lists the same sequence under 3 other names. Lineage: Eukaryota; Metazoa; Chordata; Mammalia; Carnivora; Felidae. The record is from Rfam by way of RNAcentral.